Molecule: ribosomal RNA, 464 nt
Filed under: uncultured Klebsiella sp.
Lineage: Bacteria; Pseudomonadati; Pseudomonadota; Gammaproteobacteria; Enterobacterales; Enterobacteriaceae
Description: bacterial SSU rRNA
Rfam family: Bacterial small subunit ribosomal RNA
Source: RNAcentral
CCUACGGGUGCAGCAGUGGGGAAUAUUGCACAAUGGGCGCAAGCCUGAUGCAGCCAUGCCGCGUGUGUGAAGAAGGCCUUCGGGUUGUAAAGCACUUUCAGCGGGGAGGAAGGCGUUAAGGUUAAUAACCUUGGCGAUUGACGUUACCCGCAGAAGAAGCACCGGCUAACUCCGUGCCAGCAGCCGCGGUAAUACGGAGGGUGCAAGCGUUAAUCGGAAUUACUGGGCGUAAAGCGCACGCAGGCGGUCUGUCAAGUCGGAUGUGAAAUCCCCGGGCUCAACCUGGGAACUGCAUUCGAAACUGGCAGGCUAGAGUCUUGUAGAGGGGGGUAGAAUUCCAGGUGUAGCGGUGAAAUGCGCAGAGAUCUGGAGGAAUACCGGUGGCGAAGGCGGCCCCCUGGACAAAGACUGACGCUCAGGUGCGGAAGCGUGGGGAGCAAACAGGAUUAGAUACCCGAGUAGUC